GGUAAAAUGGCUGAAUUGUAGGCGGUAAACUGUAAAUUUAUUUAUGAGAAAUUUUCUCUUUUACCA
Molecule: transfer RNA, 66 nt
Filed under: Polystoechotes punctata
Lineage: Eukaryota; Metazoa; Arthropoda; Insecta; Neuroptera; Ithonidae
Description: tRNA-Tyr
Rfam family: tRNA
About the family: Transfer RNA (tRNA) molecules are approximately 80 nucleotides in length. Their secondary structure includes four short double-helical elements and three loops (D, anti-codon, and T loops).
Source: RNAcentral